Molecule: ribosomal RNA, 497 nt
Filed under: uncultured bacterium
Lineage: Bacteria
Description: partial 16S ribosomal RNA
Rfam family: Bacterial small subunit ribosomal RNA
Source: RNAcentral
GAUGAACGCUGGCGGCGUGCCUAAUACAUGCAAGUCGAGCGAACAGACGAGGAGCUUGCUCCUCUGACGUUAGCGGCGGACGGGUGAGUAACACGUGGAUAACCUACCUAUAAGACUGGGAUAACUUCGGGAAACCGGAGCUAAUACCGGAUAAUAUAUUGAACCGCAUGGUUCAAUAGUGAAAGACGGUUUUGCUGUCACUUAUAGAUGGAUCCGCGCCGCAUUAGCUAGUUGGUAAGGUAACGGCUUACCAAGGCAACGAUGCGUAGCCGACCUGAGAGGGUGAUCGGCCACACUGGAACUGAGCCACGGUCCAGACUCCUACGGGAGGCAGCAGUAGGGAAUCUGCCGCAAUGGGCGAAAGCAUGACGGAGCAACGCCGCGUGAGUGAUGAAGGUCUUCGGAUCGUAAAACUCUGUUAUUAGGGAAGAACAAAUGUGUAAGUAACUAUGCACGUCUUGACGGUACCUAAUCAGAAAGCCACGGCUAACUACGUG